RNAcentral lists this long non-coding RNA (244 nucleotides) under Lathyrus oleraceus (garden pea). Its description in RNAcentral is "Pisum sativum (pea) long non-coding RNA (PSAT_LNC005466)". The record is from RNAcentral. Lineage: Eukaryota; Viridiplantae; Streptophyta; Magnoliopsida; Fabales; Fabaceae.
UUUGAGAUGUGAUAGACGACGACGCUGCUAGGAACCCUGGAUCGCUCAAGUGAGUCAAGCCUAGUUUGGUUUGUUGUGUGCUUUUAUUUGCUUUAUUUGUUUGAUUUUUCUUUAUAUUUUGUUUUCUUUACCUCAAUUGUGUUAUAUAUCAUAUAUUUAUUGUUGGCUUGAUUGAGCUAUUGUUGGAUGCUCUGAUUUUCAAACACAUUAUGGAAAAGACUUUAUAACCGAGUCUAGAGAAGAC